UGUCAUUCUAUGGAACUUGCUAACUAUGUAAACAAACCGCCAUAUUGAAAUUGUCUCUGAAUGAUGAAUUUACUAGUGACUUUUGUUUACAUAGUUAGCAAGUUCCAUAAAAUGACACUUUAGUCAUCUCUCUCUAUCACUCUUCCCCACUAGAGUGACAGUGACAGUCGAGUUUCAUUCGCUAUGGAGCGUUAACGAUUGCACGUUGGCUACGCACCCUGGUUUAUUUCCGCUGGAAAUUUGCUAGUGUUUUCAUCUACGCGUCGCGGCCGUCGCGGCGCACACUCAAAAAUAAUUGACUUCAAUAUGUGACUAAUCAAUUAUCAAUUAAUCAUUUUAUUCUCAUUUUAAAUAAUGUUUUAUUUAACCAAAAGCUAAAGUCAUCGGUCCCUAAGUAGCUUGUCGUAGCAGGCUAGUUAAAGCAUUUGUAGACUUAAACUGGACAUGUCUGUAGGUGGCUAGGCUAAGUUAUUGUACUGUACGUUAGGCUAAGUUGACUGUAAAAUCACUUUCGUCUAUGGUAUUCACGUAAAGACUUUUUUUCAUUAAGUUUAAUAUUUUAUUGUGUUGAUAAGACACGUUGUAUAUAGAAAGAAGUCUAUUUUUUGUUAUCGAUCUAUUUCUUCUUGUUUAUUUUGUGUUGAGUUGAGACAUACUUUCCGUUACUAUAAUUGUAAACGAUUUAAUAAAGAUUUUUUUCUGACAAAUCUCAA
Molecule: long non-coding RNA, 713 nt
Organism: Cydia splendana
Lineage: Eukaryota; Metazoa; Arthropoda; Insecta; Lepidoptera; Tortricidae
Exons: 2
Source: RefSeq, a predicted model, not a curated record